GAUGAACGCUGGCGGCGUGCCUAACACAUGCAAGUCGAGCGGAGUUAUUUUCAGGAAGCUUUCGGGUGGAAUGAACUUAACUUAGCGGCGGACGGGUGAGUAACGCGUGGGCAACCUACCCUGUACAGGGGGAUAACAAUGGGAAACCAUUGCUAAUACCCCAUAAUACCUUUUAGGGGCAUCCCUUUAAGGUCAAAGAAUUUCGGUACAGGAUGGGCCCGCGUCUGAUUAGCUAGUUGGUGAGGUAAUGGCUCACCAAGGCGACGAUCAGUAGCCGGCCUGAGAGGGUGAACGGCCACACUGGAACUGAGACACGGUCCAGACUCCUACGGGUGGCAG
Molecule: ribosomal RNA, 339 nt
Filed under: uncultured Bacillota bacterium
Lineage: Bacteria; Bacillati; Bacillota
Description: bacterial SSU rRNA
Rfam family: Bacterial small subunit ribosomal RNA
Source: RNAcentral